UCCGGUAUGGUCUAGUGGCUAGGAUACCUGGCUCUCACCCAGGAGGCUCGGAUUCGAUUCCCGGUACCGGAA
RNAcentral lists this transfer RNA (72 nucleotides) under Acanthoscelides obtectus. It matches the Rfam family "tRNA". From Rfam's summary of the family: Transfer RNA (tRNA) molecules are approximately 80 nucleotides in length. Their secondary structure includes four short double-helical elements and three loops (D, anti-codon, and T loops). Further hydrogen bonds mediate the characteristic L-shaped molecular structure. tRNAs have two regions of fundamental functional importance: the anti-codon, which is responsible for specific mRNA codon recognition, and the 3' end, to which the tRNAs corresponding amino acid is attached (by aminoacyl-tRNA synthetases). tRNAs cope with the degeneracy of the genetic code in two manners: having more than one tRNA (with a specific anti-codon) for a particular amino acid; and 'wobble' base-pairing, i.e. permitting non-standard base-pairing at the 3rd anti-codon position. Lineage: Eukaryota; Metazoa; Arthropoda; Insecta; Coleoptera; Chrysomelidae. The record is from Rfam by way of RNAcentral.